RNAcentral lists this long non-coding RNA (2358 nucleotides) under Sus scrofa (pig). Its description in RNAcentral is "lncRNA (ENSSSCG00030003043.1)". The record is from RNAcentral. Lineage: Eukaryota; Metazoa; Chordata; Mammalia; Artiodactyla; Suidae.
GAGGGCGAGACCCCGAGUAAACUUUCCAGCGGCUUCGGCCGGGGGCAUCUGCGGCGGCGGCGGCUGCGGGCUCCGUCCCCUGGCAGAUCCCGGCGGGGGAGCGAGUGCCUUGCGCUGGGAAGGUCUGGAGCCCCAGCUGAGAGCGGUGCCACCCUCCUUUGCCCCUGCCACUCUUCGCAGAAAAGAUCUGUUCCAGAACUGAGUGUUGACUGCUGCAGGGACUACGGUGGGGUUUGCUGUGCUCCCAUCUGCAGACAGUGGGUUUCAUGCUUCCUGGUGCUGGAUCCUAAGAAUGAUUUGCAUCUCCUGAAGGUUGGUUGUCCUGCAACUUCUCUGCUAUCAUCUCUUUUCUAGUUAAGACAUUUCAAAAAUGCCUUAACUCUGGGAAUUUCUAUUUUAUCCUCAGGAGAGACUUAGAUUUCAGACUGUUUCAGGUGAAUAGAUGUUUCCCCACUCAUUGGAUUGUUGUCCUAAAUGACAGCCAAGGAAAGAGGUGACACCAAAAACUUCCCACCAUCUUUGUGGUACUGCCAAAAGACGACACUCGGUAACUGCCUCGGCCAUACACUAUGAAAAAUUAGUGACACUAAAAUCUAAGAAAUAUCAGGCACCAACAUUACUGAAAUGAUUACUAGCAAAGCUAGUCUGAUUCUAUAGCUAUUUAAACCAAGGUUAAAGAGUUGUAGUAGUUAUAACCCAUUCUCUGCCCACCGUAGAGGAAGGAAGGUUUUGCAUUUAUGAUUGAUAUUGUUUGACUCAAUUCACUGCCUAGACUAACUUGAAUUUAAUUCUGAGGAUAACUUUAUUCUUAAAUAUAAAAAUAGCAGUUCAUUUUUUUUUUUGUCUUUUUGUCUUUUCUAGGGCUGCACCCGCAGCAUAUGGAGGUUCCCAGGCUAGGGGUCUAAUCGGAGCUAUAGCUCCAAAAAAAAAAAAAAAANNNNNAAAAAAAAAAAAAAAAACAGUUAAUGCAGUAUUUGCCUGAAAAGACUUCAGCCUUAAGAUGGGCCCUAGAGCCAUGUAAUCCCAAGUUAAUUAAAAAUAAGUUCUUAUGAAUAUUUAAGAGUCAUUGUUCAAUACAGCAUUCUGUAGGCUUAUUUGUUUGUCUUUUGUAAAAUUCAAAAUAAUUCUAAGAAUGCUGCUAGGAUUAGAAGGCCUGUAAUGGACCUGUAAUAAGAAUGAUAACUAUUUCUGACUAUUUGACACAAUGAUCUCUCUCCCUUUGGCUGACGGUGGGAUGGUGUCUGUCCUAUUGAAGCAUGAUAGAGAAAAGAGUUCAUUUAUUCAACAAAUACGUAACGACUGCUGUGUGCCAGGCUCUCGUUUCAGUGUUGCGAACGAGGCAGUGAACAAAAAGCAAACUCUCUGCUUUCAUGGAGCUUGUAAAAACUCCCAAAUAAUCUCAGCAAACCAACGGGAGAAGAGAGGCGCAGAGAACUUGACUCACUGUCAGGUGUCCUGGGAAAACCCCCUUCAAGAUGGCAGGCAAGAUGAAAAGGAGGGAGCUGGAGCCUGAUUUGGAAAAUAUGCUAAAGCUAUCACAGUGCUGUAAUCUAACCACUGCAAAAAACAUAGACGCUUAUCAAAACAAUAAACCAAAAGCAGGUGCCAGGGUGGUCUAACCUAGGCUUAGAAAAAAAGAAGGAUUACUUUUCAAGGAUACCAUUUUAAUGCAUUUUUUCCAGGUUCACAGAGUUUGCCCAAAUUCUGCCUCCACCGCCCCCUCCCAGCCUCAGCUGUGUCUAAAUGCAGCCUUCUUGACUUUCUCUGUGCAUAAAUAUGAAUUCAUAUUUGCCCCCUUAAUAAAGUAAGAGAUAAUCACCAAUGAUGCUUUUGAGCAACGUAUAUUUCCUCCUAAUAUAUGUAGAAGGUUUUAACAAAUCAGUACUAAGAGAGUGUCCUCAUUCUUUUUUUUUCCUCAGCAGCGACAGAGUAGCCCAUUGUAUGGAUGUACCACAAUUUAAAUAGCGACCUAUUGAUGGAUGUUUGGAUUGUAGCCAACGCUUACUCUUAAACAAUGCCACAGUUAGUAACUUUGUGUGUAGACUGUUCUGCAUGCACAGAAUUAUAUGUGUAUACAUUUGCAAAGUAGAAUUAUAGUUCAUACAGUAUGUGUAUAAUUUUGAUAGUCAGAUUGCUUCCCAGAAGUGCUUUAUCUUCUCACCCCCCUGCUAGAAACAUGUGAGAGUAGCCGUUAUCUGGGUUUUUUGCCAAUCUGGUAAGUUAAAUGGUGUCUCAGAGAUUCAAUUUAGGAAUACUGUUCAUUCAGAAUUUUCAGUGGUAUUUUUUUUUUAAAGAAAAUGCUCAGAAAACUAAAUAAGACUAGAAUUCAGCUCUUUUUAUCAUACAAAAAAAUAAAAA